Molecule: long non-coding RNA, 2135 nt
Organism: Nothobranchius furzeri (turquoise killifish)
Lineage: Eukaryota; Metazoa; Chordata; Actinopteri; Cyprinodontiformes; Nothobranchiidae
Source: RefSeq, a predicted model, not a curated record
UCCUGUAGCGCUGAACACCCGACCUGAAGAUGUGCUUGUAGAGCAUGCAGGAAAAAAGCAAAUGUUCUUAGAUUUCCACCAUGGGAGGUGACCAUCCUCUCCAUGGAUCAUGGGCUCCCUAAAAUAACCAGUUGGGUCUUUUUCUGCACGUUGCUCCAUGGUGUGAUGCACAGGCUCUGCUGAAGCACUUUUUAUUAGACAAAACUGCUAACAGUUGACUUUUUGGAGGCUUUGGCAAAUCUUACUCCUCCUAUUUGGCCUUUGGUCCAGUAGCUGCUUUAAAUAUGUCCUUGAUCAGGUAGAAUUUUAGACUAUACUAUUUAAUCUCGUUGAGCUGAUCAGAGCAUUGUGUUUGUGACCACAUUUUUAGUCAGUAAUAAAAUCCACAAGUCUUUUGAUGUCUACAGGUUCUAAUAUGUUCCAACCCUUAGGAAAAGCCCAAUAAUGCAAAAGUUUAUGGUAUAAAAAAGUCAAAACUCCAUCUUUGUAAAGCAAGUUUGCUGAGAAACCUUUUUUUUUUAAGUUAUUUUUUAAAUAUGAUCGUCCGCUCAGAGUUCCACAUUCAGGCUGAAUGUUAAAAUAGUCUUCUACCCCUGUCUCCUGCAUUAGCCACCGAUAGAAAAUAGAUGGGGAAACGCGUGGAUUAGAAAAAGCCACACAUGUUCACGCCACACUGUAAAUUAGCAUUAACAGACUCCUCCAACAAAGCUCGGUACCAGGAAAGGUUGUUUAUUUUUGCAGCCAGGAGAGCAGAGCACAUCUCUGAAAGUAGAAGUUUACCAAUCCGCUCCACAACAUGGCAGAACUCCUUCAGACUUGUGUUGUUUGGGGAGGUAAAUCAUCCACAUUGUAAAGCAAAAGGUGGCAAUGAAAGGGUUGUGUAGCUAUUAACAAUUCAGAAAUCAGAUGUCUAAAUAUCUUGAAUGAUAAUGAGUAAGACUCCAAUCCUGCCGCUUUCUGCCCCUCUCUAACUUCUUUAACUUUAUGCCAGAGAGAAUAACUAACAAAAUACCACAGCAAAUGUAUCGAGAAAAAAAAAAAAAGAAGUGGAUCAUCUGCCUUGGCGGAAGAAGGCUGGACAAAAGCCCAAGGAAACUUGGGCCAGAUUUUAAAAAUAAGAUAAGCUUGUUAAAAUAAGUGCUUGAAUAGAUGGCAGCUGGACCUCAUUUCUUGGUUGUUAGAGGUAUUUUACCUCAUAUCUCAAAAGCUGCUUAAGUUUAGACUGGUGCUGGUUCCAGGCAGUUCUGCUUGAGGGGUAAUUCAUACCUCCAGAGCCGCUGGGGUCUCAUCGGUGUCACUCAUCCGUCUGAACAUCUUAUGAGUUGUUAUCACUGGCGGGUUGUUUACCAGCCAACAAGGAAGAGAUUUUUGACACAACCUUAAGGUGUAACUGUAAAACAGCUUGGCAAGGAAUGCUGAGACCAUACUUGGUUUGAUGAAUAAUGCAUAAAACCAACACAUCUGAUUUCAAUGAGAGGAUCAGAGAAUUAUUUUUAGAAUAUUGUAGAGACUGUUGCAUGGGCUUCAGGGCUUUAUUGAUUUUAAUAGCUUGCAAACCUUGGAAAUGAGUAUUUUACAGCUCUGUGUCACGGCCCGUGGUGAGCCUCCUGCAUGUAACCCUGUUUUCCUCUGAGCAUUGUUUCAGGUGGGCGUGUCUGAGAGUCUCCAGCUGCAGCUAAUCCUGUCAUCAAGGUCCAGGGGAUUUAAGGUGCAGUGUGACACUUCACUUCGCCGGAUGAUCACUCUGUUUGGGUAGCGCUAGCCUUUUACCGGUCUCGAUCUCGUGGUUUUCCUAGUUCCUGCUUCGCUCCACAACCCACAAUCUCCAUACCAGCUUGGACUCCUGCAACCCAGAUCACGCUGUCUCUUCCCCUGGCCGCCCGCUCUCAGCCGCUCACCUGCUCACACCAAACCUCUGCUCCUACCUCCCCUCUGGUUCAACGGUUGCUUCACCUUCUGGAUCCUUCCUGCUCACCCGGACCUGACCUAGCCCUCCCUGAGCCUCUCACCACUACCUACUAUCCAAUCUCCUCCUGGAAUCUUGCUGCCAGUCCUGCGCUGCGUCUGUUCCCGUUUUUCCUGUUACUCUUCAUCUAUUAAUAAAGACGUUUUUAUGUACUCACCUGUUCUCCGUU